UAUAAUUUAGUAUAAGAUGUACAUAAGUUUUUGAUACUUAGAGAGAUAGAAUAGGUCUAUUAAUUAUAA
Molecule: transfer RNA, 69 nt
Filed under: Protaetia speciosa jousselini
Lineage: Eukaryota; Metazoa; Arthropoda; Insecta; Coleoptera; Scarabaeidae
Description: tRNA-Gln
Source: RNAcentral